RNAcentral lists this ribosomal RNA (293 nucleotides) under uncultured bacterium. RNAcentral's name for it is "partial 16S ribosomal RNA". It matches the Rfam family "Archaeal small subunit ribosomal RNA", at positions 455 to 747 of the family's 1478-position model. The record is from RNAcentral.
GUGCCAGCCGCCGCGGUAAUACCGGCAGCUCAAGUGAUGGCCACUCUUAUUGGGCCUAAAGCGUCCGUAGCUGGCCGCGCAAGUCCGUCGGGAAAUCCAUCAGCCCAACUGAUGGGCGUCCGGCGGAAACUGCACGGCUUGGGACCGGAAGGCUCGAGAGGUACGUCCGGGGUAGGAGUGAAAUCCCGUAAUCCCGCACGGACCACCGAUGGCGAAAGCACUUCGAGAAAACGGAUCCGACAGUGAGGGACGAAAGCUAAGAUCGCGAACCGGAUUAGAAACCCCAGUAGUCC